RNAcentral lists this non-coding RNA (198 nucleotides) under Paenibacillus sp. CECT 9249. The record is from RNAcentral. Lineage: Bacteria; Bacillati; Bacillota; Bacilli; Caryophanales; Paenibacillaceae.
AAUCGAAUAAUCGAAACAGGUGCCGAUUAUGUUUGGCCAAACUAGGCAUGAAUCGGUUAAAAGGGAAGCGGGUGUAAAUCCCGCGCGGUCCCGCCGCUGUGAAAGAAGAGUCCUUGCAAGAUGCCACUGGGAAACCGGGAAGGUUGCAAGGGCGAUGACGCUUGAGCCAGAAGACCUGCCUGUUUUGUUGCACCAAUC